CACCGCGGUUAAACGGGAGGCCCAAGUUGAUAGUCUUCGGCGUAAAGAGUGGACCGGGUUUAACGUAAACUAAAGUCGAAAGCCUUCUCACGCUGUGAUACGCGCCUGAAGGUGGGAAGCACAACUACGAAAGUGACUUUAACAACCCUAUGCCCACGAAAGCUAAGAAA
RNAcentral lists this ribosomal RNA (170 nucleotides) under Sunagocia otaitensis. RNAcentral's name for it is "partial 12S rRNA". The record is from RNAcentral. Lineage: Eukaryota; Metazoa; Chordata; Actinopteri; Perciformes; Platycephalidae.